This 91-nucleotide non-coding RNA is filed under the name Pseudomonas orientalis. Lineage: Bacteria; Pseudomonadati; Pseudomonadota; Gammaproteobacteria; Pseudomonadales; Pseudomonadaceae. The record is from RNAcentral.
CUUUAUGGCGGCUGUGUGCAGGGCAUCUUCGGAUGCGCCGGUUUUUGCUUAACUUCCCCGGUCUACUAACCUGCGCACAGCUGCCACCUAA